Molecule: ribosomal RNA, 301 nt
Filed under: uncultured bacterium
Lineage: Bacteria
Description: partial 16S ribosomal RNA
Rfam family: Bacterial small subunit ribosomal RNA
Source: RNAcentral
CAGUAGCCGCGGGAAUACGUAGGUGGCAAGCGUUGUCCGGAAUUAUUGGGCGUAAAGGGCUCGCAGGCGGUUUCUUAAGUCUGAUGUGAAAGCCCCCGGCUCAACCGGGGAGGGUCAUUGGAAACUGGGGAACUUGAGUGCAGAAGAGGAGAGUGGAAUUCCACGUGUAGCGGUGAAAUGCGUAGAGAUGUGGAGGAACACCAGUGGCGAAGGCGACUCUCUGGUCUGUAACUGACGCUGAGGGGCGAAAGCGUGGGGAGCGAACAGGAUUAGAUACCCCUGUAGUCCCUGUCUCUUAUAC